This 27-nucleotide non-coding RNA is filed under the name Rattus norvegicus (Norway rat). Lineage: Eukaryota; Metazoa; Chordata; Mammalia; Rodentia; Muridae. The record is from RNAcentral.
UGGAAGGAACUAUGCAAGAUCCCUGGG